Protopterus annectens (West African lungfish) is the source of this 196-nucleotide small nuclear RNA. RefSeq annotates it as U2 spliceosomal RNA. Lineage: Eukaryota; Metazoa; Chordata; Ceratodontiformes; Protopteridae. The record is from RefSeq and is a predicted model, not a curated record. The transcript has a single exon.
AUCACUUCUUGGCCUUUUCGCUCAGACCAAGCAUAGUAUCUGUUCUUAUCAGCUUAAUGUCUAAAUCACUUCCUUUAUUUAUGUUAGUGCUUUGACUACCUUAUCACAGGAUACAGAGUAAAUUGCUUUGGUACUGAACUGUUUUGAUUGUUGUUUAGGUUAAUAUUCAAAUAUCAUUCAAGACAAACAAGAUGCA